UACAGAGGUCUCGAGCGUUAGGCGGAAUCACUGGGCUUAAAGCGUGUGUAGGUGGAUCGUUAAGUACCUUGUGAAAUCCCCCGGCUCAACCGGGGAACGGCUGGGUAUACUGGCGGUCUUGAGCCACCUAGGGGCGAGCGGAACAAGCGGUGGAGCGGUGAAAUGCGUAGAUAUCGCUUGGAACGCCGACGGUGAAAACAGCUCGCUGGGGGUGUGCUGACGCUGAGACACGAAAGCCAGGGGAGCGAACGGG
Molecule: ribosomal RNA, 253 nt
Filed under: uncultured bacterium
Lineage: Bacteria
Description: partial 16S ribosomal RNA
Rfam family: Bacterial small subunit ribosomal RNA
Source: RNAcentral